This 425-nucleotide ribosomal RNA is filed under the name uncultured bacterium. Its description in RNAcentral is "partial 16S ribosomal RNA". It matches the Rfam family "Bacterial small subunit ribosomal RNA", at positions 360 to 776 of the family's 1533-position model. The record is from RNAcentral.
AAUAUUGGACAAUGGGGGGAACCCUGAUCCAGCCAUGCCGCGUGUGUGAAGAAGGCCUUUUGGUUGUAAAGCACUUUAAGCGAGGAGGAGGCUACCGAGAUUAAUACUCUUGGAGAGUGGACGUUAUUCGCAUAAGAAGCAACGGCUAACUCUGUGCAUGCAUCCGCGGUAAUACGGAGGGUGCAAGCGGUAAGCGGAUUUACUGGGCGUAAAGCGCGCGUAGGUGGCCAAUUAAGUCAAAUGUGAAAUCCCCGAGCUUAACUUGGGAAUUGCAUCCGAUACUGGUUGGCUAGAGUCAGGGAGAGGAUGGUAGAAUUCCAGGUGUAGCGGUGAAAUGCGUAGAGAUCUGGAGGAAUACCGAUGGCGAAGGCAGCCAUCUGGCCUAAUACUGACACUGAGGUGCGAAAGCAUGGGGAGCAAACAGG